This 406-nucleotide ribosomal RNA is filed under the name uncultured bacterium. Its description in RNAcentral is "partial 16S ribosomal RNA". It matches the Rfam family "Bacterial small subunit ribosomal RNA", at positions 30 to 526 of the family's 1533-position model. The record is from RNAcentral.
AUUGAACGCUGGCGGCAGGCCUAACACAUGCAAGUCGGGCGCGCGGCGGACGGGUGAGUAAUGUAUGGGGAUCUGCCUGAUGGAGGGGGAUAACUACUGGCAACGGUAGCUACUACCGCAUACCAUCAGCUGAACCCAUAUGGGAUUAGCUUGUCGGUGAGUUAACGGCUCACCUAGGCGACGAUCCCUAGCUGGUCUGAGAGGAUGAUCAGCCACACGGGGACUUAUACAAGGACCAGACGCCUACGGGAGGCAGCAGUGGGGAAUAUUGCACAAUGGGCGCAAGCCUGAUGCAGCCAUGCAGCGUGUAUGAAGAAGGCCUUCGGGUAGUAAAGUACGUUCAGUCGGGAUGCGUUACCGACAGAAGAAGCACCGGCUAACUCCGUGCCAGCAGCCGCGGUAAUUC